RNAcentral lists this ribosomal RNA (475 nucleotides) under uncultured bacterium. RNAcentral describes it as "bacterial SSU rRNA". It matches the Rfam family "Bacterial small subunit ribosomal RNA", at positions 28 to 501 of the family's 1533-position model. The record is from RNAcentral.
GAUGAACGCUAGCGGCAGGCUUAACACAUGCAAGUCGAGGGGUAUAGGAAGCUUGCUUCCUAGAGACCGGCGCACGGGUGCGUAACGCGUAUGCAAUCUACCUUUUGCAGAGGGAUAGCCCAGAGAAAUUUGGAUUAAUACCUCAUAGUAUGUGAGAAUGGCAUCAUUUUCACAUUAAAGUCACAACGGCAAAAGAUGAGCAUGCGUCCCAUUAGCUUGUUGGUAAGGUAACGGCUUACCAAGGCGACGAUGGGUAGGGGUCCUGAGAGGGAGAUCCCCCACACUGGUACUGAGACACGGACCAGACUCCUACGGGAGGCAGCAGUGAGGAAUAUUGGACAAUGGGCGCAAGCCUGAUCCAGCCAUGCCGCGUGCAGGAUGACGGUCCUAUGGAUUGUAAACUGCUUUUUGUAUAGGAAGAACACUCCCUCGUGAGGGUAGCUUGACGGUACUGUAAGAAUAAGGAUCGGCUAAC